AUCCAGCUGACGAGUCUGAAAUAAAACGAAACGCUCAUCCUGGAU
This is a non-coding RNA of Schistosoma mansoni, 45 nucleotides long. The record is from Rfam. NCBI's taxonomy places the organism in Eukaryota, Metazoa, Platyhelminthes, Trematoda, Strigeidida, Schistosomatidae.